This is a long non-coding RNA of Mus musculus (house mouse), 322 nucleotides long. RefSeq annotates it as predicted gene, 46003. NCBI's taxonomy places the organism in Eukaryota, Metazoa, Chordata, Mammalia, Rodentia, Muridae. The transcript has 2 exons. The record is from RefSeq and is a predicted model, not a curated record.
CAGCAUUUGGAAGGUAGAGGCAGGCAGAUCUCUGGGUUCAAGGCCAGCCUGGUCUACAGAGAGAGUUCCAGGAGAGCCCAAGCUAUACAAGAAACCUUAUCUGGAACAACAAAAAUAAGAGAACCUGAGGUAUGUUCCCAGCACCCACGUUUGAGGUUUACAACCGUGUGUGACUCCAGUUCCAGGGGACCUGACGCUCUUUGGCUCACACAGUGAACAUAUGUACCUUCAGGUACACAAAUAUACAGAUGAAAUAAAAUGAGUAGGUGCAAACACAUAUAGACACAAAAUAAAAUGAAUAAAUAAAUCUUUUUAAAAUGUC